GGCUCUUUGAAUAACUAUAAAGAGUCAGACCUGCCCCAUGAUUUAACAAAUAUUAAAUGGCCGCGGUACACUGACCGUGCAAAGGUAGCAUAAUCAUUUGCCUUUUAAAUGGAGGCUGGUAUGAAUGGUCAGACGGGGAGUUAACUGUCUCUGCAGAACAAAAAGAAUUUAAAAUUUAGGUUAAAAUGCCUAGAUAAAAUUGAAAGACGAGAAGACCCUAACGAGCUUGAAUUUUAACACUAAAUUUUUUAAAUAGCUGUUAAACUUUAGUUGGGGUGACUGAGGAAACAGGAGCUUCCUUUUUGAGGAAAAAAUAAUGGUUGAGGAUCCAGCGCGUUGUGCUGAAAAACAGGGGAGCUACCGUAGGGAUAACAGCGUAAUCCUUUUAGAGAGUUCCCAUCGAAGAAAGGGUUUGCGACCUCGAUGUUGGACUAGGAUAUCCUAGAGGUGUAGAAGCUUUUGAGGGUUGGUCUGUUCGACCAAUAAAAUCCU
Molecule: ribosomal RNA, 492 nt
Filed under: Dendropoma petraeum
Lineage: Eukaryota; Metazoa; Mollusca; Gastropoda; Littorinimorpha; Vermetidae
Description: partial 16S ribosomal RNA
Rfam family: Bacterial large subunit ribosomal RNA
Source: RNAcentral